GACGAACGCUGGCGGCGUGCUUAACACAUGCAAGUCGAACGGGCUCUGUCUGGCUGUGUGCUGGGUGGGGUUAGUGGCGAACGGGUGAGUAAUACGUGAGUAACCUGCCCUCUUCUUUGGGAUAAGCCUUGGAAACGGGGUCUAAUACUGGAUAUUCCUGUCUGGUCGCAUGGCUGGGUGGGGAAAGUUUUUUUCGGUGGGGGAUGGGCUCGCGGCCUAUCAGCUUGUUGGUGGGGUGAUGGCCUACCAAGGCGUCGACGGGUAGCCGGCCUGAGAGGGUGACCGGCCACACUGGGACUGGGAUACGGCCCAGACUCCUACGGGAGGCAGGAGUGGGGGAUAUUACACAAUGGGCGCAAGCCUGAUGCAGCGACGCCGCGUGGGGGAUGACGGCUUUCGGGUUGUAAACCUCUUUCGUCGGGGGACAAGGCUCUGCUUGGUGGUGGGGUUGAGGGUACCCGGUGAAGAAGCGCCGGCUAACUACGUG
Molecule: ribosomal RNA, 487 nt
Filed under: uncultured bacterium
Lineage: Bacteria
Description: partial 16S ribosomal RNA
Rfam family: Bacterial small subunit ribosomal RNA
Source: RNAcentral